UUUUUUCUUUUCUAUUUCUCUUCUAUUUCUUUAUUCUAUAUUAGUAGUUUUCAUGGUGAAAAAAAUGUAAUAGCUCUUUACGUGCCAUCCUGUUAUGCACCCAAUAAGCACACGCAAUUAGAUCGAUCAUGCAUUUCAUACAUAUAGCUGUCCAAUACUUAAAAUUAGUAGCAACAGGACUCAAACUAGAAUCAAGACUCAAACCGGUAGCACGACUCAAAUUGGUAGCAGCAGGACUCAAACUAGAAUCAAGACUCAAACCGGUAGCACGACUCAAACUGAUAGCAGACCAUCUAGAUAACAAAAUAGUAGGACUCAAACUAGUAGUCUUUCAUGACAGUAGUUCAUCAAAAUAAAAGAACAAUAAGUAGUAUAAUUUCAGAUACAGGAGCACUUCAUCCAUCCAGCAGACAUGAGCACUCCAUCCAUCAGGCAGAGCAGCACCACCAAAUGACAAGACCUGAUCUGGAGAAAGGAGAGAGAGAAGUAAGAAACAUACCUCAAUUAUGUUUAGAAAAUAGGGUCAAUGUCAUGCAC
RNAcentral lists this long non-coding RNA (537 nucleotides) under Setaria viridis. RNAcentral's name for it is "long non-coding RNA (SVIR_LNC003971)". Lineage: Eukaryota; Viridiplantae; Streptophyta; Magnoliopsida; Poales; Poaceae. The record is from RNAcentral.